Long non-coding RNA from Motacilla alba alba, 451 nucleotides. RefSeq lists it as uncharacterized. The transcript has 3 exons. Lineage: Eukaryota; Metazoa; Chordata; Aves; Passeriformes; Motacillidae. The record is from RefSeq and is a predicted model, not a curated record.
CCCUGUGGACACAGCGCGGCACUGCAGCCCCCCCGAGCCAGCGCCCCGCCCCUCGCAGCUGGGCGCCGGGGGGGCGGGGGAAGGACGGCUGCCGAGGGAGGGGAGGGCGAGGGGCGGGAGAAGCGAGCGGCGAGCGGGGCGGUGUCUGUAAAUAGCGGGGAGGGGCGAAGGUGUUUCAGAAGCGUAAAGAGACGCCGUGGCUGAGGCAGGCCCUGCGACGACGGCGUCGGCCUCCGAGCGCAGCCGAAGCGUGCGCCCCGAGGAGCCGGGCAUUCUUAGGAGAAUGCUGUUUCUGUACUCCUGACUUCCCGUCACGCCAGGGACACGUGGCUUGGAGCACAGCAGCCGGAUUCCUCACUUAGCCGUGUCAGCUUGGUGCAGGUUACGAAUUACAGGGUGACUUGGAAACCCAGAAACAAAGGGAAGAAGCUGGUAUGUCUCUUAGCAGGGG